UUAACUAUUAUAUAGUACUCAGACAUCACUAAAAAUUCAGAGUUUGAUCCUCUGGCAGGCACAUGCAGGCAGAGCCCACAGUGGAGGCCACGGCCUGCCAAAGCAACAAGGGUAAAUAAACACGGGUAGGGACUUAGGUGUUCUCGCUCUUAUUAGGAGUACGAGAAGGGACCUUAGACCUUUUUAAUGAUCCUUCCGCAGGUUCACCUACGGAAA
RNAcentral lists this unclassified non-coding RNA (216 nucleotides) under uncultured fungus. RNAcentral's name for it is "sequence contains ITS1". Lineage: Eukaryota; Fungi. The record is from RNAcentral.